CCUACGGGGCGCAGCAGUCGAGAAUCAUUCACAAUGGGGGAAACCCUGAUGGUGCGACGCCGCGUGGGGGAAUGAAGGUCUUCGGAUUGUAAACCCCUGCCAUGUGGGAGCAAAUUAACAAGAUAGUACCACAAGAGGAAGAGACGGCUAACUCUGUGCCAGCAGCCGCGGUAAUACAGAGGUCUCAAGCGUUGUUCGGAAUCACUGGGCGUAAGGCGUGCGUAGGCUGUUUCGUAAGUCGUGUGUGAAAGGCGCGGGCUCAACCCGCGGACGGCACAUGAUACUGCGAGACUAGAGUAAUGGAGGGGGAACCGGAAUUCUCGGUGUAGCAGUGAAAUGCGUAGAUAUCGAGAGGAACACUCGUGGCGAAGGCGGGUUCCUGGACAGUAACUGACGCUGAGGCACGAAGGCCAGGGGAGCGAAAGGGAUUAGAUACCCUGGUAGUC
Molecule: ribosomal RNA, 446 nt
Filed under: uncultured bacterium
Lineage: Bacteria
Description: partial 16S ribosomal RNA
Rfam family: Bacterial small subunit ribosomal RNA
Source: RNAcentral